Salvelinus sp. IW2-2015 is the source of this 2087-nucleotide non-coding RNA. NCBI's taxonomy places the organism in Eukaryota, Metazoa, Chordata, Actinopteri, Salmoniformes, Salmonidae. The record is from RefSeq and is a predicted model, not a curated record.
AUAGUCUGUCUGUCUGUCUCCCGUAACGAUAGUCUGUCUGUCUGGCUCCUGUAACGAUGGUCUGUCUGUCUGUCGGGCUCCCAUAACGAUGGUCUGUCUGGCUCCCAUAACAAUGGUCUGUCUAGCUCCCAUAACGAUGGUCUGUCUAGCUCCCAUAACGAUGGUCUGUCUGGCUCCCAUAACGAUGGUCUGUCUGGCUCCCAUAACGAUGGUCUGUAUGGCUCCCAUAACGAUGGUCUGUCUGGCUCCCAUAACGAUGGUCUGUCUGGCUCCCAUAACGAUGGUCUGUCUGUCUGUCUGUCUGUCUGUCUGUCUGUCUGUCUGUCUGUCUGUCUGUCUGGUGCUGCUGUGUUCUAGCCUUAACAUUCCAAGGAGGGUCAUGUGGACCCGCUGAGUAGCAUUCUGGGUAAUUUAGGACUGUGUCUGUGUCAACUAACCUCAGCCCAUGUCAUGUCUCAUAAAUCGCCAGGGGAAGAAGAAUACUAAUAAAAAUAUCCGCAAGGCAAGAGAUGGUGUCCCUGUUAAGAUUUACCUUAAGCUAAACAACGGGAAAUCCUUCUACAAAAAAAAAAAGUAAAAUAAAUCAAUUUAAAUAAUUGUUUUGAAGUUUACAAUCUUAACAAAAAGCAGAACUAUUCAAGUCUAUAUCCUAAAUGAUUGUCAAGAUUCUUUAAAGACAAAGAAAAAGUUACUUCAUAUUUUGGUCAUUUGUUCUUUUUUCUAGAAGAGAAGAAAAGUCAUGUGAAAACCUCACUGGGUUUUUGUACCACUAUAAUCAGACAAGAAAUCAGAAUCAUAUUUACUGUGUAUUUACUUCACUUCUUAUUACGUGCCUUAUGAUGUAAUGUGUUCAUAAUCAAUAGGUUUUAGACCGUGUCUGUCUAUCAAAUCGCAUCCUAUCCCCUAUAUGAUGCAUUCAUUUAAAGUAGUGCACUAGAUAGGGAAUAGGGUGUAAUUUGAGACGGACACUAUCUCAUGUACUAUCUAUCUGGUGACAGAUUUGAUUCAUGUAGAGAACUGUGUUUUAUAUGUUGGCUGUAUUAUAUGAUAUUUUUGAAAUGGAAGUUAAUGUUUGGUGCUUUGAGUGCACGUCUUAGAGAAAUGAACAGGAAACUCUGAAAUACCACAGUGUGUGUGUACCGUGGGCCUCUCUAUCCCUGUAGCUGUUCCAACACAUUUAUCAGAAUAAUUAUUUCAAAAUUUGAAGACUUAUUCAAAGUCUUACACUUAUUUGGGACUUGGAUGUACGCAUGUAUGACGUGUUGUUACUCGCUUGAGGUUUUCACAUUCUAAACAGUUUUAUUAGCUCUUUGUCCAGCAGUUCUACAGCAGCAUCCUCAAAAUGUCUUGUUAUGCAAAUGGACCUCGGUGGUAUUUUUAUUUUUUACAUUUUUCUUUACAAUCUAUUGAAGAAAAUACUGACUUGCUUAACAAAUCCGGUGAGGUCCAAAAAAAAAAAGGGCUUAGGUUUCUACAGUAAAAGUGAAGCCAGUUUCUACAGUAGAAGUGAAGCCAUUUCCUACAGUAGAAGUGAAAUCUGUUUCAACAGUAGAAGUGAAGCCAGUUUCUACAGUAGAAGUGAAGCCAGUUUCUACAGUAGAAGUGAACUGUUCUUAUAGUAUGUUUGUAGUGAGCUGAUUACACAAUACACAUUGAGGGACAAUCAGUGGUAGUGUUUCACUCAAUGACUGGAAGAUGCUUGGAUACCAAAUGGUACCCUAUUCCCUAUAUAGUGCACUGCUGUUGACUGGUUGUCAGUUCAUUGUAAAAUCCACCUGGAUAGAUAGGCUAUGUACGUCAGUAACGUAGGGUAUAAUGUUAUUCUAUGUGAUACGUACGUUACCUCGGUUCAUUAUCUGAUGUUGAGGCCCACAACACCCUCUCAGGUCAUUUCAGGUUUUCCUCCAUUUUGCUGUUUUUUGAGUGAAGCUGUUUAGAAAAUCUCCCAUCUUGUUUUGUUUUUUUAGCUGUAAUCUUAUUCGACUUGUUUCUCGUAUGAUUCUUUUGAGGGUAUUUUUCAUUUGAUCUGCAGUGAUGACGUGUGUUUAAUUAGAAUAUUUUUCUUUAAAAAAGGUCAAAACUGGUAA